UCACUUACAGCACUGUUGUUUUUUCUCACAGUACCACCACCACCACCACCACCACCACCACCACCACCACCAACACCGUCUGACCAGCAGAGCUCUGGAAGUGACCGCCUCGUUAUUGAUACAGAGGAGGAGGAAAUGGGGGAGCCUUCAGGCCAGCCUGAUGUCACUUACGUGGACUCUGAGUCGUCGGAGCCGCCACAGUAUAUGAUUAUUGACAGUGAUGAGGAAGGGGAUGAGGAAGGGGAGAAAAAGCCCUCUCCCCAACUUGGUAAGUAAACUAAAGUAUUGUAC
Pseudophryne corroboree (corroboree frog) is the source of this 291-nucleotide long non-coding RNA. RefSeq lists it as uncharacterized. The record is from RefSeq and is a predicted model, not a curated record. The transcript has 4 exons. Lineage: Eukaryota; Metazoa; Chordata; Amphibia; Anura; Myobatrachidae.